UACGAGGGGGGCUAGUGUUGUUCGGAAUCACUGGGCGUAAAGGGAGCGUAGGCGGGCGUUUAAGUUAGGUGUUUAAUCCCGGGGCCCAACCCCGGACCGGCACCUAAAACUGGACGUCUUGAAUAGUGGAGAGGUCGGUGGAAUUGGAGGUGUAGCGGUGGAAUGCGUAGAGAUCUCCAAGAACACCCGUUGCGAAGGCGGCCGACUGGACACAUAUUGACGCUGAGGCUCGAAAGCGUGGGGAUCAAACAGG
This 253-nucleotide ribosomal RNA is filed under the name uncultured bacterium. RNAcentral describes it as "partial 16S ribosomal RNA". It matches the Rfam family "Bacterial small subunit ribosomal RNA", at positions 524 to 776 of the family's 1533-position model. The record is from RNAcentral.